AUUGAACGCUGGCGGCAGGCUUAACACAUGCAAGUCGAGCGGGGUGAUGGUGCUUGCACUAUCACUUAGCGGCGGACGGGUGAGUAAUGCUUAGGAAUCUGCCUAUUAGUGGGGGACAACAUCUCGAAAGGGAUGCUAAUACCGCAUACGUCCUACGGGAGAAAGCAGGGGAUUAUUUGUGACCUUGCGCUAAUAGAUGAGCCUAAGUCGGAUUAGCUAGUUGGUGGGGUAAAGGCCUACCAAGGCGACGAUCUGUAGCGGGUCUGAGAGGAUGAUCCGCCACACUGGGACUGAGACACGGCCCAGACUCCUACGGGAGGCAGCAGUGGGGAAUAUUGGACAAUGGGGGGAACCCUGAUCCAGCCAUGCCGCGUGUGUGAAGAAGGCCUUAUGGUUGUAAAGCACUUUAAGCGAGGAGGAGGCUCUUUUGGUUAAUACCCAAGAUGAGUGGACGUUACUCGCAGAAUAAGCACCGGCUAACUCUGUGCCAGCCGCCGCAGUAA
RNAcentral lists this ribosomal RNA (503 nucleotides) under uncultured bacterium. Its description in RNAcentral is "partial 16S ribosomal RNA". It matches the Rfam family "Bacterial small subunit ribosomal RNA", at positions 30 to 523 of the family's 1533-position model. The record is from RNAcentral.